RNAcentral lists this ribosomal RNA (468 nucleotides) under uncultured bacterium. RNAcentral's name for it is "bacterial SSU rRNA". It matches the Rfam family "Bacterial small subunit ribosomal RNA", at positions 29 to 506 of the family's 1533-position model. The record is from RNAcentral.
ACGAACGCUGGCGGCGUGGAUAAGGCAUGCAAGUCGAACGGUCCGGCAUUCUGAUUUAGUAGCAAUACUAAAAAGGUACGCCGGAUAGUGGCAGACGAGGUAGUAAUACUUAGGUACGCACCCCGAAGUCGGGCACAACUCCGCGAAAGCGGGGCUAAUUCCCGAUAUAGUGGCAACACGAAAGGAGCAAUUCGCUUUGGGAGCGGCCUACGGGCUAUCAGCUAGUUGGCAGGGUAACGGCCUACCAAGGCUAUGACGGCUAGGGGGUGUGAGAGCAUGGCCCCCACCGAUGGAACUGAGACACGGUCCAUACACCUACGGGUGGCAGCAGUCGAGAAUAUUCGACAAUGGGCGAAAGCCUGAUCGAGCGACGCCGCGUGCAGGAUGAAAUCCUUCGGGAUGUAAACUGCUUUUAGCAGGGAAGAAUACAUUGACGGUACCUGCAGAAUAAGGGCCUGCAAACCUCGU